This is a transfer RNA of Phialocephala subalpina, 80 nucleotides long. It matches the Rfam family "tRNA". From Rfam's summary of the family: Transfer RNA (tRNA) molecules are approximately 80 nucleotides in length. Their secondary structure includes four short double-helical elements and three loops (D, anti-codon, and T loops). Further hydrogen bonds mediate the characteristic L-shaped molecular structure. tRNAs have two regions of fundamental functional importance: the anti-codon, which is responsible for specific mRNA codon recognition, and the 3' end, to which the tRNAs corresponding amino acid is attached (by aminoacyl-tRNA synthetases). tRNAs cope with the degeneracy of the genetic code in two manners: having more than one tRNA (with a specific anti-codon) for a particular amino acid; and 'wobble' base-pairing, i.e. permitting non-standard base-pairing at the 3rd anti-codon position. NCBI's taxonomy places the organism in Eukaryota, Fungi, Ascomycota, Leotiomycetes, Helotiales, Mollisiaceae. The record is from Rfam.
GGCCUCUUGGUGUAACGGUAGCAUAUUGUCGAGCUUGUCGAGCAACGAUUCGGUUGUGGGUUCAAUUCCCUCAGAGGUCA